AUGGAUCAUAGGGCUCCCAAUGGA
This 24-nucleotide non-coding RNA is filed under the name Mus musculus (house mouse). The record is from RNAcentral. Lineage: Eukaryota; Metazoa; Chordata; Mammalia; Rodentia; Muridae.